GAUGAACGCUGGCGGCGUGCCUAAUACAUGCAAGUCGAGCGAACAGACGAGGAGCUUGCUCCUCUAACGUUAGCGGCGGACGGGUGAGUAACACGUGGAUAACCUACCUAUAAGACUGGGAUAACUUCGGGAAACCGGAGCUAAUACCGGAUAAUAUAUUGAACCGCAUGGUUCAAUAGUGAAAUACGGUUUUGCUGUCACUUAUAGAUGGAUCCGCGCCGCAUUAGCUAGUUGGUAAGGUAACGGCUUACCAAGGCGACGAUGCGGAGCCGACCUGGGAGUGUGAUCAGCGAUGCUGGAACUGAUGAUCAGUAUAGACUCCUACGGGAGGCAGCAGUCAAGAAUCUGCCGCAAUAGGCGAAAGCGUGACGGAGCAAAGCCGCGUGAGUGAUGAAGGUCGUCGGAUCGUAAAACGGUGUUAGUAGGGAAGACCAAAUGUGGAAGUAACUAUGGACGUCAUGGAGGUACCUAAUGAGAGGGCCACGGCUAACCACCUG
RNAcentral lists this ribosomal RNA (497 nucleotides) under uncultured bacterium. Its description in RNAcentral is "partial 16S ribosomal RNA". It matches the Rfam family "Bacterial small subunit ribosomal RNA", at positions 28 to 507 of the family's 1533-position model. The record is from RNAcentral.